RNA transcript from Manihot esculenta (cassava), 2057 nucleotides. It is a transcript of the gene named probable L-cysteine desulfhydrase, chloroplastic, with no coding region annotated. NCBI's taxonomy places the organism in Eukaryota, Viridiplantae, Streptophyta, Magnoliopsida, Malpighiales, Euphorbiaceae. The record is from RefSeq and is a predicted model, not a curated record. The transcript is spliced from 3 exons.
AAUAAAAUAAUAACAAUGGCGGGAGUGGCAAUACAGUGGAAGCAUAUUGAACGAUGGUCCAUUUGUCCAUAUGUCACGAAAGCAUUAUCUUCAACAUCCGUCUCCUCCUCCUACUCCUCCACCAGCGCCACCACCAUCACCACCACAGCCUUCCUACAUGCUCUCUCCUCUCCUUUCCUAACUCUAAUUUCCACUUCAAUGGCCACCCAUAACCACCUAAACCAUACCCUCAAUGGCGAACACUGGGACUCCACCACACCCAUUACCAAAAAACCCAAACUUUCUUCCCCUUUCCCCACCUCCAUUAUUACACGCUCACAAAUCCAAUUUGAAUUUUCCCAUCACGACCUCUCCGUCGCUCGCAUCAACAACGGAAGCUUCGGAAGCUGUCCUCAAUCUGUUCUCUCCGCCCAGCAGCACUGGCAGAUCCAGUUCCUCCGCCAGCCUGACCACUUCUACUUCAACCAGCUCAAGCCUGGUAUCCUCCACUCCCGAUCCAUUCUCAAAUCCUUAAUUAAUGCUGACCACGUUGAUGAGGUCUCCCUCGUCGACAACGCCACCACCGCUGCCGCUAUCGUCUUGCAGAAAUCCGCUUGGUCCUUCUCCGAAGGUAGAUUCAGCAAAGGGGAUGUUGCUGUAAUGCUUCAUUAUGCGUACGGAGCUGUGAAGAAGUCCGUUGAAGCUUACAUCACGCGUGCUGGUGGACAUAUAAUCGAAGUUCAGUUGCCGUUUCCGGUGAAAUCGAAUGAGGAAAUCAUUACCGAAUUCCGGAAGGCUCUGGAUAAAGGGAAAGAGAACGGGAAGAAAGUGAGACUCGCUGUGAUUGAUCAUGUUACUUCCAUGCCUAGCGUACUGAUUCCUGUAAAAGAAUUGGUUAAGCUUUGCAGAGAGGAAGGUGUCGACCAGAUUUUUGUUGAUGCAGCUCAUGGAAUUGGAUGUGUUGAUGUUGACAUGAAAGAAAUUGGGGCUGAUUUCUAUACCAGUAAUUUGCAUAAGUGGUUUUUUUCCCCGCCUUCUGUUGCGUUUUUGUAUUCAAGAAAGUCGAAAGAUAAAGGCAACGAUGAUUUGCAUCACCCUGUGGUUUCCCACGAGUAUGGAAAUGGGUUGGCUGUUGAGAGUGCUUGGAUUGGAACUAGAGACUACAGUGCUCAAUUAGUAGUUCCUUCAGUUUUCGAAUUUAUCAAUAGAUUUCCAGGUGGGAUUGAAGGAAUCAAGAAGAAGAAUCAUGAGUCCGUUGUGGAGAUGGGGAAGAUGUUGGUUAAGGCAUGGGGGACUCAUCUUGGGUGCCCGCCAGAGAUGUGUGGGAGCAUGAUCAUGGUUGGAUUACCAGUUGCUUUGGGGAUUUCCAGUGAUUCAGAUGCUUUGAAGUUGAGAACUCAUUUGAGGAACAGCUUUGGGGUUGAAGUUCCAAUAUAUUUUAGGCCUCCAAAAGAUGGAGAGAUUGAUCCUAUUACUGGGUAUGCUCGGAUUUCUCAUCAAGUGUACAACAAAGUUGAGGAUUACCACAAAUUUAGGGAUGCCAUCAACAAAAUUGUUAGUGAUGGCAUCACUUGUGCAUGUCUCCCUAAUUGAAGAGGCACCCUUGUCUCACUAACGUUGAUUAUUCAUGGGGUUCCAUUUAAAUGGUCCAGUGAGAACAGAAAAAGAAUCACAUAAGGCCUAAUUAUAGUGAGUUAGAUGAGGCAUACUAGAAGUUUUCCAAUGAAUAACAGCCAUUGUACUUGGCCAGUGGUCAUGGUUUCGGUACCAUGAAUCCCCAACCUCCCUCCCCAAAAAACGUGGAUGAGUGCACAAAGCUGCAGCAUUUGUUUGUUGUGAACUCAUCAAAUCAGUUGUCAUCAUAAAAGAUCUCUGUAAAUAAAUGUUUUGAUGACAAUUUAGCAUUUGUAUGAUUUAAAUAUAGACUGGACAAUCGUUCAUAAAUAUGAGUUUGCAUUUAUGUCCUAUUGACCAAGGUUGAGGAUCUAAACCAAGUUGUAUCUUUGAUUGCUUGGGGUUAAAAUCAACUUCCUUGGGUGAAAUUAAAACUCCUGAUUCACAUCAAUGAUUUUUGAGCU